CACCCAGAUCCUUCUUACACUCAGGCUGUGGAAACAGAAGAUGGGGUCUCAUCUCUACCCACCCGAGGAGAAGAAGAAGGUGAAGCCAGCCUGGAGAAGGAACUCAGGAGCUCUGCCGUGACACAGGCCUUCCCCGAAGACCUUCAGACUUUCCAGGGUUUUUUUUUUUUUUUUAACCACACAGGAUGUGGGGCUGUAUCUGACUCAGGAGGCUCAGGAGGAAGUGCUAGUCUCUGAGGCAAGUCUGUUGCUCCAUCACAGGUGUAAGGCAACUGUGGCCUUGAUCUGGUGUUGCACAUACCUGGGAGGAAGAACCAUCAUUUUACAGAGCAGCUGUGCAGCAACUCGUAUUAUUUGGUCAUCCUCCCUUCCACCCUCCCCUGCACCUGGUCCAGCAGAGGCUAGACUAUAUCUCUUUUGCAGUGCUCGCUCCGGUCCAGGGCUUUUUACUGGAAAUGUUGGCAUCCCUCUCCCUGACCAUCCAACAAGGCUCAACUCCAUUGCCCACACCUAUGAAAUUAUAUAAGAAUUGCUUCCUCUUCAUCCUUGUCUAUUCCAGAAGUCUCCUACCUUGGCUUCCAAAGUGCUGG
Molecule: long non-coding RNA, 590 nt
Filed under: Cricetulus griseus (Chinese hamster)
Lineage: Eukaryota; Metazoa; Chordata; Mammalia; Rodentia; Cricetidae
Description: lncRNA (ENSCGRG00015042375.1)
Source: RNAcentral